GACGGACGGACGGACGGACGGACGGACGGACAGACAGACAGACAGACAGAUAGAUAGAUGGAUGGAUUAAUGGAUGGGUGGAUUAGUAUAGACAGAUGGAUGCAUUUAUUUUAGCUCACAUUUAUUCUUUAACGUCUUAUCCUAAAUUCGAUUAUGACAUUAGGGUUUCAUGAAACAUUUGAAGUUUUUUUUUGUUGUUUUUUUUUUGUCUUCUGCCCACACUGCCUACAUCUGUAAUGACAACCGGAGGAGGACAGGAGGAGGUGACGUCUUUGCAAAUAGACCCAAGAACUCAGGAAAUAAUUGGGGAGGCAGCACUGACAGGUGUCCAGUCCGACGCUCCGAGUGACAGCGACGCUGCUGAAGGCUCAUCCACAAAUAAUGAUCUGCUGUCAGAUGUCACAGCCAUUUACAGACACACCUGUAAGUUUGAGACGCAAUUUGCAUGAUGGAGAUCACAACUAUAAAUAGAAUAAAACUCAUUUAUUUCCUUUGUAAACUUUUUUUUCCUAGUGUAGUCUUUAAGGAUUGCAAUACUUUCUAAAUGUGAGUAAAUUAUUAGCUUUAAAGCAACAGUUUUCCCGAAUGAAGCUGACCGCUAAUGAAUUUAAAAUGAAAAUAAGAUCAGGAAAAACAUGCAUUUCAGACCAUAACACUGAAAAUAACAGAAUGUCUUACCCAGUGGCCAUAAAAUGUAUAAUUUAGCCCCUAAGGUUUAAACAUAUUGGGAAACAAACUGGUUGUGACUGUUGGGAUCAGUGUUUUGUUUUGUUUUUUUUUGUAAUCUUGGGGUUGGGUUUUGUUUUGUUGCCUGCUGUUUCCUCACCAUCCACCAGAGGUCCGCGAUGGGCUUAGCCCCUGGAACAUGCGGUGGCAGACCCUGUUGACGCACCUGUGGCUAAUUUGAAGAGGGCUGAAGUGGAGUAUUUAUGCUGCGGCUGGCAAACACUCCGGUGCCUGAGUGUUAACCUAGAAUGGUUUUCAGCCGUCUCCCAGCGUGUAGCCUGUGGAUACAAGUCUCCGAGUGAUCUCCGCUCCGGUCAGCCUCCCGAGGAACCGUUACUCCCUCUGACGCCUCAGGUAGUACCUGUUGGAAGCCAGUACCCUCGCCCCUGGAUGAAUCGAGCUCUCCGUUUGCCAACCGUCCGCUACAGCUGCUCUUACCUGCCCGUCCUCCAACGUGCUCCGCUCGCCGGAUUAGCGAGCUCUGGACCUCAGCCCUCCGAUGCAACAAUCAAACCCAUUCCACCCCUUAUCCAAGUAAGAUUCACCGACUUUCUCUGCAUUAUCCUUCUGCCACCGACUGCUAUUCACAUCUGUCCUCUCAUUUAACAGUUGAUGACCUUGCAGUUCCAACCCCGUAUCCAGAUCUCCCCACCACUUCUCUUUAUUUAAUAAACUUUAUUAUUGUGA
This is a long non-coding RNA of Poecilia latipinna (sailfin molly), 1413 nucleotides long. RefSeq lists it as uncharacterized. Lineage: Eukaryota; Metazoa; Chordata; Actinopteri; Cyprinodontiformes; Poeciliidae. The transcript is spliced from 2 exons. The record is from RefSeq and is a predicted model, not a curated record.